CCUACGGGAGGCUGCAGUGAGGAAUAUUGGUCAAUGGGCGCGAGCCUGAACCAGCCAAGUAGCGUGAAGGAUGACUGCCCUACGGGUUGUAAACUUCUUUUAUAAAGGAAUAAAGUGAGGCACGUGUGCCUUUUUGUAUGUACUUUAUGAAUAAGGAUCGGCUAACUCCGUGCCAGCAGCCGCGGUAAUACGGAGGAUCCGAGCGUUAUCCGGAUUUAUUGGGGUUAAAGGGAGCGUAGAUGGGUUGUUAAGUCAGUCGUGAAAGUUUGGGGCUCAACCGUAAAAUUGCAAUUGAUACUGGCAGCCUUGAGUACAGGUGAGGUAGGCGGAAUUCGUGGUGUAGCGGUGAAAUGCUUAGAUAUCACGAAGAACUCCGAUUGCGAAGGCAGCUUACUAAACUGCCACUGACACUGAGGCUCGAAAGUGUGGGUAUCAAACAGGAUUAGAUACCCGAGUAGUC
This 460-nucleotide ribosomal RNA is filed under the name uncultured bacterium. RNAcentral's name for it is "partial 16S ribosomal RNA". It matches the Rfam family "Bacterial small subunit ribosomal RNA", at positions 338 to 795 of the family's 1533-position model. The record is from RNAcentral.